GACCGAUGCCAAGAUCCCCGAUGCGCAAUACGGUCUGGAAAAAGCGCUGACCUUCGGCUUAGCCGCCCAUGCCGGUGCCAACCGGCUUUGCG
This 92-nucleotide non-coding RNA is filed under the name marine eukaryotic metagenome. RNAcentral's name for it is "Pyrrolysine insertion sequence mttB". It matches the Rfam family "Pyrrolysine insertion sequence mttB". The record is from RNAcentral.